This 397-nucleotide ribosomal RNA is filed under the name uncultured bacterium. RNAcentral describes it as "bacterial SSU rRNA". It matches the Rfam family "Bacterial small subunit ribosomal RNA", at positions 30 to 429 of the family's 1533-position model. The record is from RNAcentral.
AUUGAACGCUGGCGGCAUGCCUUACACAUGCAAGUCGAACGGCAGCACGGGAGCAAUCCUGGUGGCGAGUGGCGAACGGGUGAAUAAUGUAUCGGAACGUACCUUUCAGUGGGGGAUAACGUAGCGAAAGUUACGCUAAUACCGCAUAUUCUGUGAGCAGGAAAGCAGGGGAUCGCAAGACCUUGCGCUGAUUGAGCGGCCGAUAUCAGAUUAGCUAGUUGGUGAGGUAAAGGCUCACCAAGGCGACGAUCUGUAGCGGGUCUGAGAGGAUGAUCCGCCACACUGGAACUGAGACACGGUCCAGACUCCUACGGGAGGCAGCAGUGGGGAAUUUUGGACAAUGGGCGCAAGCCUGAUCCAGCCAUGCCGCGUGAGUGAAGAAGGCCUCGGUUGUAAG